This 393-nucleotide ribosomal RNA is filed under the name uncultured bacterium. RNAcentral's name for it is "partial 16S ribosomal RNA". It matches the Rfam family "Bacterial small subunit ribosomal RNA", at positions 523 to 918 of the family's 1533-position model. The record is from RNAcentral.
AUACGGAGGAUGCAAGCGUUAUCCGGAUUUAUUGGGUUUAAAGGGUGCGUAGGCGGUUUGCUAAGCGGGAGGUGAAAUGCCGGCGCUCAACGUCGGAAGUGCCUCCCGAACUGGUGGACUUGAAUGACUCUGCCGUGGGAGGAAUGUGUAGUGUAGCGGUGAAAUGCUUAGAGAUUACACAGAACACCGAUUGCGAAGGCAUCUCACGAAGGGUUGAUUGACGCUGAGGCACGAAAGCGUGGGGAUCAAACAGGAUUAGAUACCCCGGUAGUCCACGCAGUAAACGAUGAUGGCUAACCGCUGGGCUUAUCAGUUCAGUGGCCAAGCGAAAGCGAUAAGCCAUCCACCUGGGGAGUACGACCGCAAGGUUGAAACUCAAAUGAAUUGACGGGG